This 88-nucleotide microRNA precursor is filed under the name Loxodonta africana (African savanna elephant). RNAcentral describes it as "miRNA (ENSLAFG00000029377.1)". The record is from RNAcentral. Lineage: Eukaryota; Metazoa; Chordata; Mammalia; Proboscidea; Elephantidae.
UAUAUAUAUAUAUAUAUGUAUACACACACAUAUAUGUAUAUAUUUAUAUGUAUGUGUAUAUAUAUGUACAUGUAUGUGUGUGUAUACG